This 103-nucleotide small nuclear RNA is filed under the name Vulpes vulpes (red fox). Lineage: Eukaryota; Metazoa; Chordata; Mammalia; Carnivora; Canidae. The record is from RNAcentral.
GUGCUAACUUUGGCAUUACAUAUACUAAAUUGGAAUGAUAGAGAGAUUAGCAUGGCCUCUGUGCAAAGAUGGUACACAAAUUUGUAAAAGUAAACUUUAUAUU